Molecule: ribosomal RNA, 460 nt
Filed under: uncultured bacterium
Lineage: Bacteria
Description: partial 16S ribosomal RNA
Rfam family: Bacterial small subunit ribosomal RNA
Source: RNAcentral
CCUACGGGAGACAGCAGUGAGGAAUAUUGGUCAAUGGACGCAAGUCUGAACCAGCCAUGCCGCGUGCAGGAAGACGGCCCUAUGAGUUGUAAACUGCUUUUGUACGGGGGUAAACGCAGAUACGCGUAUCUGUCUGCACGUAUCUUACGAAUAAGGAUCGGCUAACUCCGUGCCCGCAGCCGCGGUAAUACGGAGGAUUCAAGCGUUAUCCGGAUUUAUUGGGUGUAAAGGGUGCGUAGGCGGGCGGAUAAGUUAGCGGGGAAAUCCCGAGGCUCAACUUCGGAAUUGCCGCUGAUACUGGUAGGCUAGAGAGUAGGUGAGGUAGGCGGAAUGUAUGGUGUAGCGGUGAAAUGCUUAGAUAUCAUACAGAACACCGAUUGCGAAGGCAGCUUACCAAGCUACGUCUGACGUUGAGGCACGAAAGCGUGGGGAGCAAACAGGAUUAGAUACCCCUGUAGUC